CCGCGAACGGGUGAGUAACACGUGGGUAACCUGCCUCGAUGACCGGGACAACCCGGGGAAACCCGGGCUAAUACCGGAUGUGCUCCUUCACAUCAGUGAAGACAGGAAAGGAAGCUUCGGCCUCCGCAUCGAGAUGGGCCCGCGGCCCAUUAGCUUGUUGGUGAGGUAACGGCUCACCAAGGCUGCGAUGGGUAGCUGGUCUGAGAGGACGAUCAGCCACACUGGGACUGAGACACGGCCCAGACUCCUACGGGAGGCAGCAGUGGGGAAUCUUGCGCAAUGCGCGAAAGCGUGACGCAGCAACGCCGCGUGGGGGAAGACGGCCUUCGGGUUGUAAACCCCUUUCAGGAGGGACGAAGCUCGAGCGGUUAAUAGCCGACUCGUGUGACGGUACCUCCAGAAGAAGCCCCGGCUAACUACGUGCCAGCAGCCGCGGUAAUACGUAGGGGGCAAGCGUUGUCCGGAAUCAUUGGGCGUAAAGAGCGUGUAGGCGGUCCGAUUAGUCGGCUGUGAAAGUCCAGGGCUCAACCCUGGGAUGCCG
RNAcentral lists this ribosomal RNA (541 nucleotides) under uncultured Solirubrobacterales bacterium. RNAcentral's name for it is "bacterial SSU rRNA". It matches the Rfam family "Bacterial small subunit ribosomal RNA", at positions 96 to 625 of the family's 1533-position model. Lineage: Bacteria; Bacillati; Actinomycetota; Thermoleophilia; Solirubrobacterales. The record is from RNAcentral.